RNAcentral lists this ribosomal RNA (784 nucleotides) under uncultured bacterium. RNAcentral describes it as "bacterial SSU rRNA". It matches the Rfam family "Bacterial small subunit ribosomal RNA", at positions 8 to 796 of the family's 1533-position model. The record is from RNAcentral.
AGAGUUUGAUCCUGGCUCAGAACGAACGCUGGCGGCGUGCUUAACACAUGCAAGUCGAGUGCGCGCCUGUAGCAAUACAGGUGGCGCACGGCGCACGGGUGCGUAACACGUGGGUAAUCUGCCCUCUGAUGGGGAAUAACUCGCCGAAAGGCGAGCUAAUUCCGCAUAAUAUUCCGAGAACUUUGGUUUUUGGACUGAAAGGUGUAAGUCGUCGGAGGAGGAGCCCGCGCACGAUUAGCUAGUUGGUAGGGUAAUGGCCUACCAAGGCUUUGAUCGUUAGCUGGUCUGAGAGGAUGGCCAGCCACACUGGAACUGAGACACGGUCCAGACUCCUACGGGAGGCAGCAGUGGGGAAUCUUGCACAAUGGGCGAAAGCCUGAUGCAGCGACGCCGCGUGGGGGAUGAAGCUUCUCGGAGUGUAAACCCCUUUCGAUCCGGACGAAACCCCGCAAGGGAUUGACGGUACGGAUAUAAGAAGCCCCGGCUAACUACGUGCCAGCAGCCGCGGUAAUACGUAGGGGGCCAGCGUUGUUCGGAAUUACUGGGUGUAAAGGGUUCGUAGGCGGUGCGGCAAGUUGGGAGUGAAAUCUCUGGGCUUAACCCAGAGACGGCUUCCAAAACUGCUGUGCUUGAGUGUGGGAGAGGCUCGUGGAAUUGCAGGUGUAGCGGUGAAAUGCGUAGAUAUCUGCAGGAACACCCGUGGCGAAAGCGGCGAGCUGGACCACUACUGACGCUGAAGAACGAAAGCUAGGGGAGCAAACAGGAUUAGAUACCCUAGUAGUCC